RNAcentral lists this long non-coding RNA (276 nucleotides) under Phoenix dactylifera (date palm). RNAcentral describes it as "long non-coding RNA (PDAC_LNC007430)". The record is from RNAcentral. Lineage: Eukaryota; Viridiplantae; Streptophyta; Magnoliopsida; Arecales; Arecaceae.
GUGGAUGCUGGAAUAAGCUGGUGGUUGCUGGUUCUCAUCCGGAAGGGAAGUUGGCUUGGUUCGGGAGGAAUCAGACGUUGGCAUGCAUCGCGGGAAGCAUGGGAAUUCGGCUGGAUAUAGAUCAUGAACGGAAGCACAGAGGAAGCGGAUGAGAUAGGUUUGGAUGCUGGGAAGGAGUUGGAUUCCUGGGCUUUAUCCCGUGGAGGGGAUCUAGCGGGAGAAACUGGGAAAUUCGGAGAAGGGAUAUGGCUGGAAGUGGGGGAAAUACUUGUUCUG